Molecule: ribosomal RNA, 438 nt
Filed under: uncultured bacterium
Lineage: Bacteria
Description: bacterial SSU rRNA
Rfam family: Bacterial small subunit ribosomal RNA
Source: RNAcentral
AACAAACGCUGGCGGCAUGCCUAACACAUGCAAGUCGAACGAAGAAUGUUUACAUUCUUAGUGGCAAACGGGUGAGUAACGCGUGAGAAUCUGCCUUUUGGUGGGGGAUAACUAAGGGAAACUUUAGCUAAUACCGCAUAAGCUUGGAAACAAGGAAAAAUUUAUUGCCAAGAGAUGAGCUCGCGUCAGAUUAGGUAGUUGGUAGGGUAAAGGCCUACCAAGCCUGUGAUCUGUAGCUGGUCUGAGAGGAUGAUCAGCCACACUGGGAUUGAGAUACGGCCCAGACUCCUACGGGAGGCAGCAGUGAGGAAUAUUGGACAAUGGGGGAAACCCUGAUCCAGCAAUGCCGCGUGAGUGAAGAAGGCCUUUGGGUUGUAAAGCUCUUUUACUCGUGAAGAUGAUGACGGUAGCGAGAGAAAAGUUCCGGCUAACUCUGUG